RNAcentral lists this transfer RNA (71 nucleotides) under Candidatus Woesearchaeota archaeon. RNAcentral describes it as "tRNA-Gly". It matches the Rfam family "tRNA". From Rfam's summary of the family: Transfer RNA (tRNA) molecules are approximately 80 nucleotides in length. Lineage: Archaea; Nanobdellati; Candidatus Woesearchaeota. The record is from RNAcentral.
GCGCUGGUAAUUUAGAGGUAGAAUUUCUCCCUUCCAAGGAGAAUACCUGGGUUCGAUUCCCAGCCAGCGCA